GAUCAUGGCUCAGGACGAACGCUGGCGGCGUGCCUAAUACAUGCAAGUAGAACGCUGAAGGAAGGAGCUUGCUCUUUCCGGAUGAGUUGCGAACGGGUGAGUAACGCGUAGGUAACCUGCCUGGUAGUGGGGGAUAACUAUUGGAAACGAUAGCUAAUACCGCAUAACAGUAGAUAUCGCAUGAUAGCUGCUUGAAAGGUGCAAUUGCACCACUGCCAGAUGG
RNAcentral lists this ribosomal RNA (223 nucleotides) under uncultured bacterium. RNAcentral's name for it is "partial 16S ribosomal RNA". It matches the Rfam family "Bacterial small subunit ribosomal RNA", at positions 15 to 228 of the family's 1533-position model. The record is from RNAcentral.